GGUUGGCAAAAAAAAAGUUUGUUUGGGUUUUUCCAUAACAUCUUGCAGAAAAAAUCCAAACCUUUUCGCCCACCC
This 75-nucleotide microRNA precursor is filed under the name Bos taurus (domestic cattle). RNAcentral describes it as "microRNA bta-mir-2284z precursor (bta-mir-2284z-3)". Lineage: Eukaryota; Metazoa; Chordata; Mammalia; Artiodactyla; Bovidae. The record is from miRBase by way of RNAcentral.